AGUGUACGCUGGCGGUAGGCCUAACACAUGCAAGUCGAACGGCAGCACAGGAGAGCUUGCUCUCUGGGUGGCGAGUGGCGGACGGGUGAGGAAUACAUCGGAAUCUACUCUGUCGUGGGGGAUAACGUAGGGAAACUUACGCUAAUACCGCAUACGACCUACGGGUGAAAGCAGGGGACCUUCGGGCCUUGCGCGAUUGAAUGAGCCGAUGUCGGAUUAGCUAGUUGGCGGGGUAAAGGCCCACCAAGGCGACGAUCCGUAGCUGGUCUGAGAGGAUGAGCAGCCACACUGGAACUGAGACACGGUCCAGACUCCUACGGGAGGAAGCAGUGGGGAAUAUUGGACAAUGGGCGCAAGCCUGAUCCAGCCAUACCGCGUGGGUGAAGAAGGCCUUCGGGUUGUAAAGCCCUUUUGUUGGGAAAGAAAUCCAGCUGGCUAAUACCCGGUUGGGAUGACGGUACCCAAAGAAUAAGCACCGGCUAACUUCGUGCCAGCCGCCGCCGUAA
This 506-nucleotide ribosomal RNA is filed under the name uncultured bacterium. Its description in RNAcentral is "partial 16S ribosomal RNA". It matches the Rfam family "Bacterial small subunit ribosomal RNA", at positions 29 to 523 of the family's 1533-position model. The record is from RNAcentral.